AUUGAACGCUGGCGGCAGGCCUAACACAUGCCAGUCGAGCGGUAGAGAGAAGCUUGCUUCUCUUGAGAGCGGCGGACGGGUGAGUAAUGCCUAGGAAUCUGCCUGGUAGUGGGGGAUAACGUUCGGAAACGGACGCUAAUACCGCAUACGUCCUACGGGAGAAAGCAGGGGACCUUCGGGCCUUGCGCUAUCAGAUGAGCCUAGGUCGGAUUAGCUAGUUGGUGGGGUAAUGGCUCACCGAGGCGACGAUCCGUAACUGGUCUGAGAGGAUGAUCAGUCACACUGGAACUGAGACACGGUCCAGACUCCUACGGGAGGCAGCAGUGGGGAAUAUUGGACAAUGGGCGAAAGCCUGAUCCAGCCAUGCCGCGUGUGUGAAGAAGGUCUUCGGAUUGUAAAGCACUUUAAGUUGGGAGGAAGGGCAGUAAAUUAAUACUUUGCUGUUUUGACGUUACCGACAGAAUAAGCACCGGCUAACUCUGUG
This 484-nucleotide ribosomal RNA is filed under the name uncultured bacterium. Its description in RNAcentral is "partial 16S ribosomal RNA". It matches the Rfam family "Bacterial small subunit ribosomal RNA", at positions 30 to 507 of the family's 1533-position model. The record is from RNAcentral.